GACUUCAAUUGUUCACCUUAGUAGAUAAGCUGAUUCUUAUUACACACCUAUAAACCAGGCUCAUCAAAUAAUAGAUCCAACUAUAAUAUCUAUGGCGGGUAUAUCUAUUGUUUGGAUUCAAGUUCUAGUUAAUUACUCUAGAACUAGCAUUAAGAACAAUUAAAGAUGAAGAAUUCUACAGAUAACCUAGCACGGGGCGAUCUACUAAACCAUAUGAAUCCCUAAUGAGAAACCCUAAACCUAACAGGUGGAUUACUCAGACAUGAUCAAAGAAACACAAAUCAUAGUCUGAAUACGAAAUAAAUAGUCAAUAUAUCAAGAGAAAGAGUAAGAAAGAUCUUAUCUAAAGGGAGUCUCCAUAGGGUUUUGCUCCCAAGAACAAAAGAGAUAAGGAGAAUAGCCUCUCCAAGCUUAGGUCUAAACAAUGACCUAAAAACUAUACAUAUGAUCUAAAAACGUGAUGGACCUUCUUUAGAAAUAAGGGAAAGUUAUGGGCCGAAUUUGGAAAUCUUCAAAACGUCAAUAAGGUGCGUCUUCGAUUUGUCGUCAGGUAUUGGUGUUGCUAGACACCUACACGGUUCAGCAGCAUAAACUCUUUGUUUUCCUCCAGAAUGCUCCAUUAUCUCCAAAUGAAUCUCAAACUUGUAAAGACCUCAAAAGACUAGAAAAGACUCUAGAAAUA
Molecule: small RNA, 682 nt
Filed under: Arabidopsis thaliana (thale cress)
Lineage: Eukaryota; Viridiplantae; Streptophyta; Magnoliopsida; Brassicales; Brassicaceae
Description: ATSL032310
Source: RNAcentral